This is a long non-coding RNA of Strigops habroptila (Kakapo), 791 nucleotides long. RefSeq lists it as uncharacterized. The transcript is spliced from 3 exons. Lineage: Eukaryota; Metazoa; Chordata; Aves; Psittaciformes; Psittacidae. The record is from RefSeq and is a predicted model, not a curated record.
UUGAAUAGAAAGAUCUUUGCUUUGACAUUCUCUUCCAACUCUUGGCUGUGGACUUAAUUAAAACUAGUUACUCCAAUCUUCAAAGCCAUAACAUAUAUGAUUAGGACCCAAAAUGCAAUCUACUACAGAAAAUAAAAUAGGCCUGAGUUGUGGAAAAUAGAGACUAAUCUAGGAAAAGCUGUGAAGCUUUAAGAAAAGGCUAUAAAAGACCGAAUAACAGAACAUAAUGUUUCUACACAUUACGUAGUGCUACAUUUUUAAAGGUAUCUUCACACCUUAAAGUUUUAAUUGAAAAUUAACAAUUUAUGUAAUCUGCUCCUGGUCUGAAAUCUUGUAUUUUUGUCAGUUAAUAACUUUUCUUUCUUUUGCUACUGUCUUUUUGCAUGUGAUUAUGGGAUAUAAAUUGUUGCACCUGCCUGCAAGUACAUACCAUUCUGGAAGGAAGUCUGGACCUUGAGCAUCUUUCUGAACAACGACACUGAAUUUGGGGGAAUGUCUGGCAUACCAAAUAGGAAUCCAGAGGCACCUUUCAGAAGAAACCUGUGGACUCGAUCAGCAGAAGUCUCCUGAAGUUCAUCAAGGAUAAACAUCAAGUUCUGCAGCUAAGGCAGAAUAACCCCAAGCAGCAGUGCAGGCUGGAAACAAACUGUUGAAAAGACCCAGGGGUUACAGUGGAUGCCAAGUAAAACAUGAGGCAGCAGCGUGCUCUCAAGGUAAACAUCCUUCUGUUCUACAAAACAUGUGGCAGUUUGGGGCUCAAGAAAAAUCCUCAAACACAGGUAAGAAAGGAC